This 487-nucleotide long non-coding RNA is filed under the name Lynx pardinus (Iberian lynx). Lineage: Eukaryota; Metazoa; Chordata; Mammalia; Carnivora; Felidae. The record is from RNAcentral.
AUGCAAAUGUCAUUGGUGUGAAACCCCACUGUACUGGAAGAAUUAAUAUAUUACUAUAGUAAUGUACUGGAGCUAAAUGGCUGAAGCUUUAGGGGUGCAUAGAAACCACCAUAAUUUGUAUGACAUUUUGAAGUGAAUUAAAUAUUUUUGAACAUGCUUCUUCGACAGCCAGUGUUAUAUUUUUCAGAUUAACACAAAGCACAAUGAUUACUCUAAACUCAAUAUUUUCAAAUUCACAUAUUUAAAGUCAUGCAAGCUGCAACUUCCCUGUCAAAAUUACUGGCUGCCAAAUUUAUACCUGUUUCUUCAGCUGUACCUUUUGAUAUUUAGAAUUUUUAAAUUUCUGUAAAGUAGAUUUUGUAGAAUGUAAUGUGUUCACUGCCUUUGUGAAGCGGUAUAUAAUUGUAUAAUUUCUGUGUGUAAACUGAAUGCUUGGGCUUUCAAUACAGUAUUCAUAUAAAGCAAUAAAUAUUAAUGUUAUGAAAUA